GAGUUUGAUCAUGGCUCAGAUUGAACGCUGGCGGCAGGCUUAACACAUGCAAGUCGAGCGGGGGAGGUUGCUUCGGUAACUGACCUAGCGGCGGACGGGUGAGUAAUACUUAGGAAUCUGCCUAUUAAUGGGGGACAACAUCUCGAAAAGGGAUGCUAAAUACCGCAUACGCCUACGGGAAAGCAGGGGAUCACUUGUGACCUUGCGUUAAUAGAUGAGCCUAAGUCGGAUUAGCUAGUUGGUGGGGUAAAGGGCCUACCAAAGGCGACGAUCUGUAGCGGGUCGUGAGAGGAUGAUCCGCCACACUGGGACUGAGACACGGCCCAGACUCCUACGGGAGGCAGC
This 345-nucleotide ribosomal RNA is filed under the name uncultured microorganism. RNAcentral's name for it is "bacterial SSU rRNA". It matches the Rfam family "Bacterial small subunit ribosomal RNA", at positions 9 to 352 of the family's 1533-position model. The record is from RNAcentral.